ACUGUCCAAAUCAAAAUUACAAGGAAUUUUGUUAUAAUGAUAUUCAUACACAAGCGUCAUAGCAUUGGAAUGUUUAUCACGUGCGUGGGUGGAAAACGUCUGCAAUUACUAGUGGGGGUGGAGCUUCGGUCACAUGACACUGUACUUUAGCUUUCUGAAGUUGACCGUAGCGUUGAUCGUGUAAAACCCUGAAAAACCAUUUGUUGUAGGCUACCUAGUAGCUAUUAAAGGUCUUAACUAAGACUAUUAGAUAGUAGAGAACUUGUUUCCUGCUGCGCAAGACAGAGUGCAACCAAACAAGAAUGUUAGGAGGAGAUCUCAGGGACAAUUCAGGAUUUCAUCAGUAUAUGAUAUGUACAUCAGGAUUCCAAGGAUAUAACUAAGCUGGAACAAAUGGUUUUUUUAUAAUUUAGUUUUACAAGGAAAUUUCAUGUUAAUUGGUCACAUGAUAGUCACAUGAUCUUUUUUCAAUUAAGGAAACUUAAAUUAUUAUGACAAAACAAAAUGUGCAAUUACUAUGUUUAAUAUUGAAUACUUUUUGAUAUAAUAUUGUGACGUUG
Halichondria panicea is the source of this 560-nucleotide long non-coding RNA. RefSeq lists it as uncharacterized. The transcript is spliced from 2 exons. The record is from RefSeq and is a predicted model, not a curated record. NCBI's taxonomy places the organism in Eukaryota, Metazoa, Porifera, Demospongiae, Suberitida, Halichondriidae.